Molecule: ribosomal RNA, 1129 nt
Filed under: Salmonella enterica subsp. enterica serovar Saintpaul
Lineage: Bacteria; Pseudomonadati; Pseudomonadota; Gammaproteobacteria; Enterobacterales; Enterobacteriaceae
Description: bacterial LSU rRNA
Rfam family: Bacterial large subunit ribosomal RNA
Source: RNAcentral
CAUCCUCCAAGGCUAAAUACUCCUGACUGACCGAUAGUGAACCAGUACCGUGAGGGAAAGGCGAAAAGAACCCCGGCGAGGGGAGUGAAAAAGAACCUGAAACCGUGUACGUACAAGCAGUGGGAGCCCCACCACUAAGCCAGUGGUGGAUUCCACAUACGCAUCCUUUGCUGAGGAUACGGUUAACGGAGCGAAAGCGACGUUCAACCUCAAAAGAAGCAGAGGGGGCUUAGUGGUGGGGUGACUGCGUACCUUUUGUAUAAUGGGUCAGCGACUUAUAUUCUGUAGCAAGGUUAACCGAAUAGGGGAGCCGGAGGGAAACCGAGUCUUAAUUGGGCGUUAAGUUGCAGGGUAUAGACCCGAAACCCGGUGAUCUAGCCAUGGGCAGGUUGAAGGUUGGGUAACACUAACUGGAGGACCGAACCGACUAAUGUUGAAAAAUUAGCGGAUGACCUGUGGCUGGGGGUGAAAGGCCAAUCAAACCGGGAGAUAGCUGGUUCUCCCCGAAAGCUAUUUAGGUAGCGCCUCGUGAAUUCAUCUCCGGGGGUAGAGCACUGUUUCGGCUAGGGGGCCAUCCCGGCUUACCAACCCGAUGCAAACUGCGAAUACCGGAGAAUGUUAUCACGGGAGACACACGGCGGGUGCUAACGUCCGUCGUGAAGAGGGAAACAACCCAGACCGCCAGCUAAGGUCCCAAAGUCAUGGUUAAGUGGGAAACGAUGUGGGAAGGCCCAGACAGCCAGGAUGUUGGCUUAGAAGCAGCCAUCAUUUAAAGAAAGCGUAAUAGCUCACUGGUCGAGUCGGCCUGCGCGGAAGAUGUAACGGGGCUAAACCAUGCACCGAAGCUGCGGCAGCGAACGUAUCACCCAAGACAACUUUACGGAGUUGACGAUUGACGGAGCGAAGCGACGUCAAAGCGUUCAUUAAAGUCGAGUUGGCUUAGGGAUACGUUCGUUGGGUAGGGGAGCGUUCUGUAAGCCUGUGAAGGUGGCCUGUGAGGGUUGCUGGAGGUAUCAGAAGUGCGAAUGCUGACAUAAGUAACGAUAAAGCGGGUGAAAAGCCCGCUCGCCGGAAGACCAAGGGUUCCUGUCCAACGUUAAUCGGGGCAGGGUGAGUCGACCCCUAAGGC